Molecule: long non-coding RNA, 3200 nt
Filed under: Triticum aestivum (bread wheat)
Lineage: Eukaryota; Viridiplantae; Streptophyta; Magnoliopsida; Poales; Poaceae
Description: long non-coding RNA (TAES_LNC019233)
Source: RNAcentral
GUUGGUUUGGUUACAUCUCAGCUUGGAGCCAGGAUUAACUCCUACAAAUUUUUCUUAAGCUCCCAGAAAACAGCAGCUGCGCGCCAUUUCCAAGCUCACCAAAAUACCACCUAAUUAAUGAUGUGCUUGACGAAACAAGUCCAAAAAUCACCCACAGUUUACAUCCUAGACGAAUUUGAGAUGGCGCAACGCGAGCUCAGAUCGAUCCCACUACAGAUGCAAUAAGAGUGGUUACACAUGAGAGGAACUACAGCAACAAGAGUUAGAAAGAUUCAGUCAACUAGAGUUAGUUUGCAGGGUCGGUAGUUCUUCCUACGACAUUUCACCUUCCCGGUCACCAGCUUUGCAUCACCACCUUGUGAGGACAGAGCCUUCGGACUGCUGGAAGUCAGGCCUGCAGCAGGAUCACUGUUAGCAUCUUUCUGGCAAGGCCACUGUUAACUCCAAAUGCUAGGAAUUUGUCGCAACACUUGCAUUGAUAUGGAUUUUUUGCAUGAUAAAAAACACAACUGUAAUGACAAGAAUGGCGCUGAUGUUGGAGGGUGAGGACAAUUCGGCGAUUCAGCAUGUUGGAGAGCAAGGACAACCGUACCAAGAGGUGGUUUUUCCCUAACCAAGGACAAGAUAUGGUAGUUCCUCUCAAUAUGUUUCGCCUUCGCUCUCACCAGCUUUGCAUCGCCAUCUUCAGAAGUCACAGCUUUAGGACUGGUGGAAAUCGGGCCUGCAGCAGGUCACUGUUAACAUUUUUCUAGGAAGGCCAAUGUUAACUUCAAAUACCAGGAAUUUGUUGCAAUGUUUGCUUGAUAUGGAACGUUUGCAUGAUAAAGACACAACUGUAAUGACAAAGGGAUGUAGAAGAAAUUACUGGGGAAUGUCGCUGAUGUUGGAGAGCGAAGACAAUUCGUUGAUCCAGCAUGUGGCAGAGCGAGGACAACCGUUUCAGCUGAGUUGAUAAAGGCAGCUGAUUCUUCUGCUGGCCUGAGCGUGCGAGACCUCUUGUGGUCGGCUGUUGGCUCUUCCACAGGACUGGUAAAACAUUCACCCAUCUGUAUAAGCCUAGGACUUCUCCUAGGAGUGUCGGUAUGGUAGUUCUUAUGACAUUUUGCAUUCACACUCACUGACUUUGCGUCGCCACCUUCAGAAGUCUGAGCUUUCGGAGUGGUGGAAGUCAGGCCUACAACAGGUCAACGUUAACAUUUUUCAGGAAGGCCACUGCUAAACUUCUCAAAUACUAGAAAUUUGUUGCAGUGUUUGCUUGAUAUGGAUUGUUUGCAUGAUAAACACACAACUGUAGUGACAAAGGGGUAGAGAAGAACUUACUGAGGAGUGUCGUUGAUGUUGGAGAGCAAAAACAACUCGUUGAUCCAACAUGUGUCAUAGUGAGGACAGCCGUUUCAGCUGGGUCGGUAGAGGCAGCUGAUUCUUCUGCUGGCCCGAGCGUGUGAGACCUCUUGUGGUCGGCUGCUGGCUCUUCCACAGGACCGAUACAACAUUCACCCAUCUGUAUAAGCCUAGGACUUCUCCUAGGAGUGUCGGUAUGGUAGUUCUUCUUACGAUAUUUCCUUUUCACACUCACUGACUUGGCGGUUGCUUCCAAAGCAUGUCCGGACUCAGUAGUCUCUUGCCUUCCUUCAGUUGCUGCAACAGACACAGCAUGCACAUCUUGAGUUCCUUCACUAGCUGCAAGGAGAGGUGCUUCCUCCAUAAUCAUGGACGAUGCGGUAGCUUCCAAAGCAUGUACGGGCUCAGAAGCCUCUUGCCUUCCUUCACUAGCUGCAACAAACAUAGCCUGCCUAUCUUGACUUCCUUCACUGGCUGCAACAAACACGGCCUGCUCAUUCUGACUUCCUUCACCAGCUGCAACAAACACGGCCUGCACCCCUCGGCUUCCUUCACCAGCUAGGACAAACACAUCCUGCUUAUCAAGCGACGCUGCCCGGUGCUGAGUUGCAAUUAGAACCUCCUGAACAGUCUCGUCAUCGCUGNNNNNNNNNNGUGGGACCCCAUAGUCAGUCCGACGUGGCGGGUAUGCCCGGGAGCCCCCACAUUCGCACCAUAUUUGGGUUGGAUAUGCGGGUGUCGGUCAGCCCGCGCGUUUGAGGCCCGUUUUAGGCGUCUGCCUGGGUCAAAAUUUCGUGAUCGGGCAGUGACCGGACGGCCCGCUCGGAUGGGAUGUAUGAGGCGGGUUUGAGAGUUCCGGGUUUAGAUGCUCUAAGCCGAUUGAGAUUUUUCCUGUAUAAAAGCCGGUUAUGUGUUAAACUUUUUUAUAUAUAAAUGGCAAGGCCCCAAAUGUUAUACAAGAGUGUAUGUUACAGUCAAAAGUUUGUAGGGAGUUAAUCCUGCAUUAAUUGUUAGCUUUUCUAAUGGAGCAAAUGAUUUUUUUUUUAAUUUCCAAAUCUCUCUCUCUAUUGCCCAUCUAUAGUUUGUUAAAUACUAGAACAUCAUCUUUCAAAAAAAGAAAGGGUUAUGCGCCGUCGCAAACUAUUGCUUCCUAUCUUCCCGUUUUUGUCAGAUGCAUAUCUUCAAGCUGGCCGUGGCAUGUCUGCAAUUUUCUCUCCAUAUCUAGCAUUAGAUCGACAAAUAAUUUGAAAUUCAAGUCUUUGAAAAAUAAAACGGAGUAAAAAAAAUGUCAUGCCCCAAAAGGUUGUAUUCUGAACCGCAGCAAGAACACUUUGUCAUGCAUAACAUUACCAGCUGUGCAGGUCAGCAAGAACGCCUGUAAAUUCAUCUGCGGACAGAACUAAACUAUCGCUUCAGCCUUCAUCUACCAAAGCCACACACCUUUUUUGCAAUAUUGAUAAUCAAAAUGCAGUUGCUCUAACAAAUCUGGAUCUAUUGUUGGUUUGGUUACAUCUCAGCUUGGAGCCAGGAUUAACUCCUACAAAUUUUUCUUAAGCUCCCAGAAAACAGCAGCUGCGCGCCAUUUCCAAGCUCACCAAAAUACCACCUAAUUAAUGAUGUGCUUGACGAAACAAGUCCAAAAAUCACCCACAGUUUACAUCCUAGACGAAUUUGAGAUGGCGCAACGCGAGCUCAGAUCGAUCCCACUACAGAUGCAAUAAGAGUGGUUACACAUGAGAGGAACUACAGCAACAAGAGUUAGAAAGAUUCAGUCAACUAGAGUUAGUUUGCAGGGUCGGUAGUUCUUCCUACGACAUUUCACCUUCCCGGUCACCAGCUUUGCAUCACCACCUUGUGAG